CUUCCUGACCAGGCCUAAAACCCUGCUCUGAAGCUAGAGGGGAGAGUGCUGGUAUAGAACAAGACCUUGCUUCAAGUGAAGCACAGCCAUAGGAAGGAAGGCCAGUCUAUUACUUUGGAAGGUGUUGAGAAGAAAAGAGAAGAAUCUAAGUUGCUGGGGCUAUGGGAGCUACUACAAGACGAUUCCUCUGCAAGCUCAAGGUUGAAAGUUUUCUGUUGAACACAUGCUGUAGGAAGCCACGAAGCUAACACCAUGGCAGCUGAACCCAUUAAUGCAAGCAGAGAGCUUUUGAAAAAAAGAUUUCCUCACAUGGAGCCAAAUUCAUCCUUAGUGUAAGUCUGACUCCUUUUGAAGCCAAAUCUGAACUUGCCAUUGAACUUGGGUCCCCACCCCUUGUUGAAGCAGAUGUCUCAGCUACUCCUUUCACACAACUGUAGCUCCAUUGACUUCAACAAAGUUGUUCCUGAUUUACACCAGAAUAAGUGAGAACAGAAUAUGGUUGUUGUAGUCACUUAUUCCUGGGCUGAACUUGUCAGAGUGUCUGUCUCUACAUAUACCUGCUUGUUGUGAGCCGCAAUAAAGCUAUGGCCACAGACUGGCCACUUGCAUUUC
Molecule: long non-coding RNA, 612 nt
Organism: Alligator mississippiensis (American alligator)
Lineage: Eukaryota; Metazoa; Chordata; Crocodylia; Alligatoridae
Exons: 2
Source: RefSeq, a predicted model, not a curated record